This is a long non-coding RNA of Anthonomus grandis grandis, 596 nucleotides long. RefSeq lists it as uncharacterized. The transcript is spliced from 3 exons. NCBI's taxonomy places the organism in Eukaryota, Metazoa, Arthropoda, Insecta, Coleoptera, Curculionidae. The record is from RefSeq and is a predicted model, not a curated record.
AUUUUUUUUUAUGUUUUGUGCGGUAGUAAAGAAAAAUUUGUAUGUGAAACCUGUGUAAAAUCUGCGUUUUUUUAUUUCAAAAGGAUCGUUUUAUAGAUUUGUUACAUAAAUAACUAUUUUAUAAAUAAGGAGUUUCACGACGAAUUGCUGCGAUCGAUUUCAAGAAAAAUAGACUUUGAAAUUUUUACAAAUUUAACUUGCCUAGCAAUCGUGUUGACCUGGGUUAAAGUCCAACAUUUCACAUGGUCACGUCUCAAGAAUGGCAAUAUAGAGGAAACCCCAUUAUAAUUGCAGAAACUGAAUACGGAUUAAGCUACCGCUGUAUAAAUACCACAAGCUAAUAUUAUUCACACCCAGAGGCGCCAAACUAUGGUCUAUUAAGUUAAUGUAUAACUAGCCAAUGCUCGCGCAAUUUACUCACAUAAUUAAGCACAAGUCUGUUAAUAAAUUUAUUAAACAGCUAAUGCUAAACUUGGGAAUAAGUUCAUUCAUAAAAACUUGGAGAUAAAGGCUGAACAUAAUGACACCAACUCGUGGUUGAAACCCAUCUUGGAAUUACAUGAGCAUGACCUGGAAAACGAAAUGACGGAUGCAAC